Molecule: long non-coding RNA, 2546 nt
Organism: Gambusia affinis (western mosquitofish)
Lineage: Eukaryota; Metazoa; Chordata; Actinopteri; Cyprinodontiformes; Poeciliidae
Exons: 6
Source: RefSeq, a predicted model, not a curated record
UUAACCACAUCUCCAUGCAGCACGAGCAGAACACGUGGUGAUUGGCGCAGAUGACGGGCUGCUUGACCUGCAGAAGCAAACCUGAGGAGCGCUUGAGGAGGGGAGAAGGGUGGGAGGAGAGUGGUCUUUUUGAAAGCUGCAUCGAUGCACUAAUGCACUGAAAUCUGAGCUCUUAUUGGAUCUGAAGGGCAGCCUGAGACAGCCAUCCUCCAGCAUCUACCUCUGUUUAAAGGGAUUGCUUUCAUUCAGAGAAGGAGAGGCGAAAAAGCCUUCCAGCAGAGCCCAGUCCGGCUCAGCUCGUCUCCCCGUCUGCCUCGUCUCUGCUGAGGCCAGCUGACCGGUCCCUUCAGGCUGAGCGGCCAACAGGCAGACCGGCGGCUCUCCUGUACCAGCGCCGGUGGACCGUGAUGCAGGCGGGAGCAGCCGACUGCCCAGUGGCCUCUGACAUUUGCUGUGGAGAAGAAGGGAUGUGCUCAGCCCUCUUGUUCUGCUGCGAUCGAGCUUCAGGGUCCUGACCUGCCUGUGAAAGGAAACAGUCGAGAGUGAGUGUCACAAAAAAAGAAGCCAGCUAAACAACAAAGCCAUCUUUUACUCUGAAGAAGAAAGCCACCUCAGUGAGAUGAAGCAGAUCGUGUCCGUAAACUAUAGAGCGGUGCCUGACGUGGAAUGGGAUACUCCUUUGAGAAGUCAUUUGUCACCAAUUCCCAAUGAGACCAGCACCUUUCCAUCAUUGCCACUUCAAGUUUCUACACAACGCCUUAAAGUCACGUGAUUUAAACCUAAACACUGCGGACUAAUUUAGUACAUCAUUUGAUCUAUUGUCAUCUGUUUAACAAAUCCUACAGAUCAAUAAAUUGCACACUUCCUUGAACUGUUUGAAGUUCAGAAAGAAGAAUUUUUGUUGUGUCUGGAAAACAUGAACAAACAGUUUUGAGAAAUGUCUUCUUAAAAGGCGAAUCCAAAUGUCAGAGAGACAGAUACACAGAGAGCGCUGCCUUCUGGGCGUCGAGCAGAAAAACUUCAGAAUAAUAUUUUGUCCCAGUUGGAGCGAACUGCAAUUACCCGUCAUCAAACAUUAGAAAGCAGAGUGUUUUCACUCUCAUAGCCCGGAGAGGAAGAUGGUCACUGUUUGCAAAAUCACACAAAGGAGACUCGGGGAAAAGCAAUGUAGGAAUGUUACUGAGAUCAGAUCAACUGAAUUUAUGUUGCUGUGAUUAGUCAGAUAAUAAAACCCACUGACAGCUUAUUUAUAAACAACUGUGUGUAAAGGAGUAGCUCCAAAUUCUGAGGCGUAAAUUCUUUCCAACACAAUGGUAAACAUAUAACACAAAGUGAGAUAUGAACUUUUUUUUAUUUUUAUCAUUGUGCAUUUUUUAGACAAAGAGUGGCUCAAAAGUAACAUGAAUAAAAUGAAACACUUCAUGCUAUUAUAUUUAUGUUUUUUUCUUUUUCUGAUUCAUGAGACGACAGAGGAAUGUAUACAACAUUGUAAUUAAAUGGAAGGGAAAGUAUUGAGGUUAUUAUUUAAGUUCAUUAAAAUACUGACACAUACAUUUUACUCCGCGCUUCUCUAGGAAGUUGACAUAAAGGCUGAACUUUAGCCGGUGCCGUAGCACAGAGCUGCGCCCUGCUUGACAGAUUUUUUUUUUAAAUGAAAGACGAAUUCACAAAUCCAAUAUUCUAUAAGCCCAUAUAAUUUUGAAGUGUUUUAAUUUAUUGGAUUUUUGUGUAUGCAACCAACAAACAAUUUGAAAGCACUCAUCUCAUAGCCCCACCUUUAAUUUAACCCUUGAUUGUAAGAACGUUAAACUCAACAGCAGUGAGCCUUAAAUGCACGUUGCAUACCUACUCGUUUGUUUUUGACAUUUUUCUUUUACUGUCUCAUGUUGUCACAUACAAGCCUGGUUAAUUACUGACUGUGUUCUUGGUAAACAUUUUUGAAAGGACAAAUAAAUUCAUUAUUUUAGAAAAACUCUCUAGAAAGAAAUUUGUGUACCUAGACAUUGAUGCUUCAACCUUGAGCUGUGAAACAAGUCUGAGUGUUUGUACCUGGUUUUAAAAUGUGAAUGUAAAAUGAAAUGUCUGAGUUUUGGUAAAUGACACUUCAGAAUAGAUAUCACUGCUGGUGUGACAAUGUUUCUGUUGGUUUAUUUAUUGGUUUUUAAUCUUUCUGUAUUCCCUGUAUUUAGGAGACACAUAUUUUUCUGGAUUUUUUUUUAAGUACUGGUCAGCAACGAAGACUCCAAGCUAAGUAAUCAAAUGUAAAAAGUUCUAAUGUUCACAGCUCUUUAUAUAACUAAGUCUGUGCACUAAUAUGGAAUAACAAAUGAGUUCAAUAUUGCAUCUGUGACAAUGUUUGUUUUUCCUAACUUGUGAAACAAUGAUCUCAUGAGGAUUUACAUCAAUUCACGGCUGUCUGUCUGUAGUUUCAAUUUAGUUUUUAUAAAUAACUUGUCAUAAUUCUUGAUGUUUGUCCUUUAUAAAAGUAAUGCAUUUUAUGAAAUAUAACACAUCUUUGAAUAAUUUGCCAUUUAAGGGGAUUUGCA